RNAcentral lists this ribosomal RNA (615 nucleotides) under uncultured bacterium. RNAcentral's name for it is "bacterial SSU rRNA". The stretch from base 1 to 533 matches the Rfam family "Bacterial small subunit ribosomal RNA", at positions 338 to 873 of the family's 1533-position model. The record is from RNAcentral.
CCUACGGGAGGCAGCAGUAAGGAAUAUUGGUCAAUGGGCGCAAGCCUGAACCAGCCAUGCCGCGUGCAGGAUGACGGCCCUCUGGGUUGUAAACUGCUUUUAUACGGGAAGAACAGCAUCUACGUGUAGGUGUUUGACGGUACUGUAAGAAUAAGGACCGGCUAACUUCGUGCCAGCAGCCGCGGUAAUACGAAGGGUCCAAGCGUUAUCCGGAUUUAUUGGGUUUAAAGGGUGCGUAGGCGGCUUUUUAAGUCAGUGGUGAAAGCCUGAUGCUCAACAUCAGAACUGCCAUUGAUACUGAAGAGCUUGAGUACAGUUGAGGUUGGCGGAAUGUGUCAUGUAGCGGUGAAAUGCUUAGAUAUGACACAGAACACCGAUUGCGAAGGCAGCUAGCUAAGCUGUUACUGACGCUGAUGCACGAAAGCGUGGGGAGCAAACAGGAUUAGAUACCCUGGUAGUCCACGCCCUAAACGUUGAUAACUCGUUGUUAGCGAUAUACUGUUAGCGACCAAGCGAAAGCAUUAAGUUACUCCUAACGUAGGUAGUUAGUUCGUGAGAGUAGUUAAGUUAAUUAGAGUUAGAGNGNGAGAGNGCGACGCGACGACGAGGAGGAGG